GAUGAAGAACGUAGCGAACUGCGAUAAGUAAUGUGAAUUGCAGAAUUCAGUGAAUCAUCGAGUCUUUGAACGCACAUUGCGCCCCCUGGCAUUCCGGGGGGCAUGCCUGUCCGAGCGUCAUUGCUGCCCUUCAAGCCCGGCUUGUGUGUUGGGUCGUCGUCCCCCCCGGGGGACGGGCCCGAAAGGCAGCGGCGGCACCGCGUCCGGUCCUCGAGCGUAUGGGGCUUUGUCACCCGCUCGAUUAGGGCCGGCCGGGCGCCAGCCGGCGUCUCCAACCUUCUAUUUUACCAGGUUGACCUCGGAUCAGGUAGGGAUACCCGCUGAACUUAAGCAUAUCAAUAAGCGGAGGA
RNAcentral lists this unclassified non-coding RNA (350 nucleotides) under soil metagenome. RNAcentral's name for it is "partial contains 5.8S ribosomal RNA, internal transcribed spacer 2, and large subunit ribosomal RNA". The stretch from base 1 to 120 matches the Rfam family "5.8S ribosomal RNA", at positions 35 to 154 of the family's 154-position model. The record is from RNAcentral.